RNAcentral lists this long non-coding RNA (247 nucleotides) under Elaeis guineensis (African oil palm). Its description in RNAcentral is "long non-coding RNA (EGUI_LNC061053)". Lineage: Eukaryota; Viridiplantae; Streptophyta; Magnoliopsida; Arecales; Arecaceae. The record is from RNAcentral.
CAAUUAUGAUCCUUAUGAAAAUUCUUUUCUAACAAUCACAUUACUGUGGCCACAGACUCUCGGACUUAGCCUCUCAAAUCUCAUAAGAUUACCUCUUUCUAUCAAGAUCGAUAGAUUCCAUCUUGAUGUGCAUCCUACUCCUAUAGUGGACCAACUGUCGCCAACAUCCACUACAAUGGCUCAUUGAGAUCAUGUUUAUGUAUUAGUCAAACUUCAGCAGCCUCACUGCGAGCAAUCAUACCAUCAC